AUGAGGAUAACGACCUGGAACUGUUGCAGUUUGGGGAACGACCCGACAGUGAGAGGGCUUCUAGAUCUACAGAAGCGGGAGGACCCCAACUUUCUCUUCUGGUUGGAAAUGAAGCUAGACAGGAAGCAAAUGGAGAGUUUUAAAUGGAAGGUUGGUACGAGCAAUAUGAUCGCAAGGAGUUGUGAAGGGAAAAGCAGAGGUUUGGCUUUAUUGUGGAAGAAAGAUGUCAGUAUUGAGCUUCGUAUCCUCUCAAGAUACCACAUAGAUGUGGAAUUCAUUGAGGAAGACAAAUUCAGAUGGCGGUUUACUGGGAUUUAUGGGGAAGGUAAAAUGUGA
This 336-nucleotide ribosomal RNA is filed under the name Triticum aestivum (bread wheat). RNAcentral's name for it is "partial small subunit ribosomal RNA". The record is from RNAcentral. Lineage: Eukaryota; Viridiplantae; Streptophyta; Magnoliopsida; Poales; Poaceae.